This 279-nucleotide ribosomal RNA is filed under the name uncultured bacterium. RNAcentral's name for it is "partial 16S ribosomal RNA". It matches the Rfam family "Bacterial small subunit ribosomal RNA", at positions 75 to 353 of the family's 1533-position model. The record is from RNAcentral.
CUUGCUUUCUUUGCCGGCGACCGGCGCACGGGUGAGUAACACGUAUCCAACCUGCCGAUGACUCGGGGAUAGCCUUUCGAAAGAAAGAUUAAUACCCGAUGGCAUAGUUCUUCCGCAUGGUAGAACUAUUAAAGAAUUUCGGUCAUCGAUGGGGAUGCGUUCCAUUAGGUUGUUGGCGGGGUAACGGCCCACCAAGCCUUCGAUGGAUAGGGGUUCUGAGAGGAAGGUCCCCCACAUUGGAACUGAGACACGGUCCAAACUCCUACGGGAGGCAGCAUG